RNAcentral lists this long non-coding RNA (245 nucleotides) under Elaeis guineensis (African oil palm). Its description in RNAcentral is "long non-coding RNA (EGUI_LNC049843)". Lineage: Eukaryota; Viridiplantae; Streptophyta; Magnoliopsida; Arecales; Arecaceae. The record is from RNAcentral.
UCGAAAUAUGAAUUCGAUAGUAUCAGUAUCUUUCAAACUUUCAUAUACAUAAUCAUAUAUCUAAUUUCAAAAUUGAUCAUAUUCAAAAUCCGAUUCAAAACAAUUUUCACUUAACUCAUUAGCCUUUAACCAUGACCACACUUAUACCCUAUGGCUGAUUCAAAAAACUAUACUUAUACCCUAUGGUCGGAUCAAAAUACUACACUUAUAUCCUAUGGUGGAGUCGAAAUACCAUACUUAUACCC